RNAcentral lists this ribosomal RNA (425 nucleotides) under uncultured bacterium. Its description in RNAcentral is "partial 16S ribosomal RNA". It matches the Rfam family "Bacterial small subunit ribosomal RNA", at positions 354 to 796 of the family's 1533-position model. The record is from RNAcentral.
GUGGGGAAUCUUGCGCAAUGGGCGAAAGCCUGACGCAGCCAUGCCGCGUGAAUGAUGAAGGUCUUAGGAUUGUAAAAUUCUUUCACCGGGGACGAUAAUGACGGUACCCGGAGAAGAAGCCCCGGCUAACUUCGUGCCAGCAGCCGCGGUAAUACGAAGGGGGCUAGCGUUGCUCGGAAUUACUGGGCGUAAAGGGCGCGUAGGCGGACAGUUUAGUCAGAGGUGAAAGCCCAGGGCUCAACCUUGGAAUUGCCUUUGAUACUGGCUGUCUUGAGUGCGGGAGAGGUGAGUGGAACUCCGAGUGUAGAGGUGAAAUUCGUAGAUAUUCGGAAGAACACCAGUGGCGAAGGCGACUCACUGGCCCGUUACUGACGCUGAGGCGCGAAAGCGUGGGGAGCAAACAGGAUUAGAAACCCGAGUAGUCC